RNAcentral lists this long non-coding RNA (283 nucleotides) under Capsicum annuum. RNAcentral describes it as "long non-coding RNA (CANN_LNC012698)". Lineage: Eukaryota; Viridiplantae; Streptophyta; Magnoliopsida; Solanales; Solanaceae. The record is from RNAcentral.
UCCAGGUCAGUUCAGUUGGGAGAAGGAUUUAGCACCGAGAGAACCCAGGGAUGGGGGCUCACAUGCCAGUUGGGGGUAUGACCUUUGGUAGCAGUCCCCGUGUUUCAUAACUACAUAGCCAACGUAGGUUGAGAUGUUAACUUGCUAGUUUAGGUUUGAUCUUAUACGGGUACCUGCCAAUUAAGGGUAACCCUUAGUCCUUCGGGAAAACACUUUAGUGGAUCAGUACAGCCAGUGUUAGUACCCGUGGCACGGUGCUGACACGCUUCCAAUUGGAGUCACA